RNAcentral lists this long non-coding RNA (336 nucleotides) under Homo sapiens (human). RNAcentral describes it as "HSALNT0094749". The record is from RNAcentral. Lineage: Eukaryota; Metazoa; Chordata; Mammalia; Primates; Hominidae.
AGGACUAUCGGGCAGACUCAGGAAGCAGCACAUGGGGAACAUUCUCAGACUUGGCCCUGGUGGUAGUAUCCGUCUGCCAGAGACCAGAGAGAAAAGUCAGAGGUUUCAGCUGCAAAGACCAACUCUCUCAACAAACAUUAAUUCAGUGUGUGUUCCCUGAGCACCCACUCUGGCUGGGCACUGGACGUAGAAGAGUGAGCAGACAGAUGUGGUUGCUGCUCUCCGGGAACUUUAAUACCUGGGAUGAUAGCAACUGACUGUGUGUUUUGAUGGGGGUGAGUUGACCUGGAGUUGGGGGUGGCUGUGGGAACUGAUUGAAAUGACCAGUGAAGCCAU